RNAcentral lists this ribosomal RNA (253 nucleotides) under uncultured bacterium. RNAcentral describes it as "partial 16S ribosomal RNA". It matches the Rfam family "Bacterial small subunit ribosomal RNA", at positions 524 to 776 of the family's 1533-position model. The record is from RNAcentral.
UACGUAGGGACCAAGCGUUGUUCGGAUUUACUGGGCGUAAAGGGCGCGUAGGCGGCGUGGUAAGUCACUUGUGAACUCUCUGAGCUUAACUCAGAACGGCCAAGUGAUACUGCUGUGCUAGAGUGCAGAAGGGGCAAUCGGAAUUCUUGGUAUAGCGGUGAAAUGCGUAGAUAUCAAGAGGAACACCUGAGGUGAAGACGGGUUGCUGGGCUGACACUGACGCUGAGGCGCGAAAGCCAGGGGAGCAAACGGG